CAGACGGUCCCAAGCGUUGUUCGGAUUCACGUGGGCGUAAAGGGUGCGUAGGUGGUAGGGUAAGUCGGAUGUGAAAUCUCCGAGCUCAACUACGGAAAUGGCAUUGGAAACUACCCUGCUAGAGGGUCGGAGGGGGGACUGGAAUACUUGGUGUAGCAGUGAAAUGCGUAGAUAUCAAGUGGAACACCAGUGGCGAAGGCGAGUCCCUGGACGACUCCUGACACUGAGGCACGAAAGCUAGGGGAGCAAACAGGAUUAGAUACCCUGGUAGUCCUAGCCGUAAACGGUGCACGUUUGCUGUAAAAGGAAUCGACCCCUUUUGUGGCGUAGCCAACGCGUUAAACGUGCCGCCUGGGAAGUACGGUCGCAAGAUUA
This 375-nucleotide ribosomal RNA is filed under the name uncultured organism. Its description in RNAcentral is "bacterial SSU rRNA". It matches the Rfam family "Bacterial small subunit ribosomal RNA", at positions 525 to 896 of the family's 1533-position model. The record is from RNAcentral.